CCUACGGGAUGCAGCAGUGGGGAAUAUUGGGCAAUGGGCGCCAGCCUGACCCCGCAACGCCGCGUGACGGAAGAAGGCUUUCGGGUUGUAAACUUCUUUUGUCAGGGACGAAGCAAGUGACGGUACCUGACGAAUAAGUCACGGCUAACUACGUGCCAGCAGCCGCGGUAAUACGUAGGUGGCAAGCGUUAUCCGGGUUUACUGGGUGUAAAGGGCGUGUAGGCGGGGAAGCAAGUCAGAUGUGAAAACCACGGGCUCAACCUGUGGCCUGCAUUUGAAACUGGCAAACUGGAGUGUGUGAGAGGAUAGUGGAAGUCCAGGUGUAGGAGUGAAAUCCGUAGAUAUCUGGAGGAACAUCAGUGGCGAAGGCGACUAUCUGGCACAUAACUGACGCUGAGGAGCGAAAGCGUGGGUAGCAAACAGGAUUAGAUACCCGAGUAGUC
This 443-nucleotide ribosomal RNA is filed under the name uncultured bacterium. RNAcentral describes it as "partial 16S ribosomal RNA". It matches the Rfam family "Bacterial small subunit ribosomal RNA", at positions 338 to 795 of the family's 1533-position model. The record is from RNAcentral.